Myotis davidii is the source of this 131-nucleotide long non-coding RNA. RefSeq lists it as uncharacterized. The transcript is spliced from 2 exons. Lineage: Eukaryota; Metazoa; Chordata; Mammalia; Chiroptera; Vespertilionidae. The record is from RefSeq and is a predicted model, not a curated record.
CUGCUCCAAAUGUGGUCUCUACUGGAGCUGGGGGCACAAAUAAAAAAUGAGGAAACUGAGGCUUGGUGAAGUCACGAAACUUGUCCAAAGUCACACAGCUUGUAAAGGGCACAACCAAGAUUCAGAGACAG